Fukomys damarensis (Damara mole-rat) is the source of this 48-nucleotide non-coding RNA. The record is from Rfam. Lineage: Eukaryota; Metazoa; Chordata; Mammalia; Rodentia; Bathyergidae.
AAAAAGGCUUUUUGAAAAAGCCACAAAAUUCAAAGAGAUAUAUGAAAG